GAUCCUGGCUCAGAUUGAACGCUGGCGGCAGGCUUAACACAUGCAAGUCGAGCGGGGAAAGGUAGCUUGCUACCUGACCUAGCGGCGGACGGGUGAGUAAUGCUUAGGAAUCUGCCUAUUAGUGGGGGACAACAUCUCGAAAGGGAUGCUAAUACCGCAUACGUCCUACGGGAGAAAGCAGGGGACCUUCGGGCCUUGCGCUAAUAGAUGAGCCUAAGUCGGAUUAGCUAGUUGGUGGGGUAAAGGCCU
RNAcentral lists this ribosomal RNA (249 nucleotides) under uncultured bacterium. RNAcentral describes it as "partial 16S ribosomal RNA". It matches the Rfam family "Bacterial small subunit ribosomal RNA", at positions 15 to 266 of the family's 1533-position model. The record is from RNAcentral.